AGAGUUUGAUCAUGGCUCAGGAUGAACGCUGGCGGCGUGCUUAACACAUGCAAGUCGAACGUGAAAUGUCGAUUGAAUACUUCGGUAGGAUUUCGGUGUGGAAAGUGGCGAACGGGUGAGUAACACGUAGGUGACCUGCCUCGAAGUGGGGGACAACCAUUGGAAACGAUGGCUAAUACCGCAUAGUUCUGUUGGUCUGGGAAGGCCGAUAGAUAAAGCCUUCGGGCGCUUUGAGAGGGGCCUGCGGUCGAUUAGCUAGUUGGUGGGGUAAUGGCCUACCAAGGCGACGAUCGAUAGCUGGUCUGAGAGGACGAUCAGCCACAUGGGAACUGAGACACGGUCCCAACUCCUACGGGGGGCAGCAGUGAGGAAUAUUGCACAAUGGGGGAAACCCUGAUGCAGCAACGCCGCGUGGAGGAUGAAGGUUUUUGGAUUGUAAACUCCUUUUCUGAGGGAAGAGUAAGGACGGUACCUCA
RNAcentral lists this ribosomal RNA (476 nucleotides) under uncultured Chloroflexota bacterium. Its description in RNAcentral is "bacterial SSU rRNA". It matches the Rfam family "Bacterial small subunit ribosomal RNA", at positions 8 to 482 of the family's 1533-position model. The record is from RNAcentral. Lineage: Bacteria; Bacillati; Chloroflexota.